Molecule: ribosomal RNA, 253 nt
Filed under: uncultured bacterium
Lineage: Bacteria
Description: partial 16S ribosomal RNA
Rfam family: Bacterial small subunit ribosomal RNA
Source: RNAcentral
GACGUAGGAUGCGAGCGUUGUCCGGAUUUAUUGGGCGUAAAGAGUUCGUAGGCGGUUCGUUAAGUUUGAUGUUAAAGAUCAAGGCUCAACCUUGGGAUUGCAUUGAAUACUGGCGGACUUGAGUGCAGUAGAGGCGAGUGGAAUUCUCAGUGUAGCGGUGAAAUGCGUAGAUAUUGGGAGGAACACCGGUGGCGAAGGCGGCUACCUGGACCGGUUCUGACGCUGAUGCGCGAAAGCGUGGGGAGCAAACAGG